Molecule: transfer RNA, 72 nt
Filed under: Bos taurus (domestic cattle)
Lineage: Eukaryota; Metazoa; Chordata; Mammalia; Artiodactyla; Bovidae
Also listed under: 3 other names
Rfam family: tRNA
About the family: Transfer RNA (tRNA) molecules are approximately 80 nucleotides in length. Their secondary structure includes four short double-helical elements and three loops (D, anti-codon, and T loops). Further hydrogen bonds mediate the characteristic L-shaped molecular structure. tRNAs have two regions of fundamental functional importance: the anti-codon, which is responsible for specific mRNA codon recognition, and the 3' end, to which the tRNAs corresponding amino acid is attached (by aminoacyl-tRNA synthetases). tRNAs cope with the degeneracy of the genetic code in two manners: having more than one tRNA (with a specific anti-codon) for a particular amino acid; and 'wobble' base-pairing, i.e. permitting non-standard base-pairing at the 3rd anti-codon position.
Source: Rfam by way of RNAcentral
UCCCUGGUGGCUUAGACAGUAAAGAAUCUGCCUGCAGUGCAGGAGACCUGGGUUUGAUUCCUGGGUUGGGAA